Molecule: long non-coding RNA, 276 nt
Organism: Hydractinia symbiolongicarpus
Lineage: Eukaryota; Metazoa; Cnidaria; Hydrozoa; Anthoathecata; Hydractiniidae
Exons: 2
Source: RefSeq, a predicted model, not a curated record
UUUAAAAUAGGCUGUGUGAAUUUUCUAUUCUGUUCUAACAUCCGAAUCUAAUUCCCUUUCGGAUGAAAUAUUUACUAUGUUGAUCUGUUUCUUUUUCUAUUUUUAGAUUGGCUGUUCCUACUCUCCGGCGGAAGAUUCAGAUUAUGGUACGCAGAGAAAGAAUGUUGUGUGGGUAAAAGGAUGACCUAAGAAACAAGGAUUCAUCAGACACACAGGCCUUGUUUCUUUACCGCUUUCUACUCUGGUCACCUUAAGAAGAAACAAAGACAAGAUAAA